AUUCACCCCAAAUUUCCCCCAAAAUCCCCCAAAUUCCAAAAAAACCUCCAAAUUUCCCCCAAAAUCCCUCAAAUAAUCCCAAAUUUCCCCAAAAUCUCUCAAAUUCACCCCAAAUUUCCCCAAAAUCUUUCCCAAAUCCCCCAAAUUUUCCCCAAAAUCCACUCAAAUUUUCCCCAAAAUCCCCCAAAUUUCCCCCAAAAUCCCCCAAAUUUCUGCAAAUCCCCCAAAUUUUCCCAAAAUCCCCCGAAUUUGCCCAAAAUCCCCGUUUUUUCCCCCAUUUUCCAGGUCUCCCCGAUCCUGCCCCGGCUGCUCCCGGAGCUGCAGCGGCGCCUGCGGGAAAAACGGGAACAGAUUUGGGAUUUCCUCCUGGGACCCCCCAAAAAUCCCCCAAAUCCUUCCAAAAUCCCCCAAAUUCCACCCAAAAAUCCUCAAAUCCCCCAAAACUUCCCCAAAAACCCCGAAAAUCUCCCCAAAAACUCCCAAAACGUCCCCAAAACCCCCAAAAUCGACCCCAAAAACCCCAAAAAUUUCUCCCAAAACUUCGAAAUCGACCCCAAAACUUUCCCCCAAAUCUUCCCUAAAAACCCCGAAAAUCUCCCCAAAAACCCCCAAAACUUCCCCCAAAACCCCGAAAAUCUCCCCAAAAACCCCAAAAUCCCUGAAAAUCUCCCCAAAAACCCCCAAAACUUCCCCAAAAACCCCGAAAAUCUCCCCAAAAACCCCAAAAUCCCCCAAAUUCACCCCGAAAACCUCCCCAAAAGACCCGAAAAUCUCCCCCAAAACCUCCCCAAAAACCCCGAAUUUUGCCCCAAAACCGACCCCAAAACCCCCAAAAAUCCGCCCCAAACCCCUGAAAAUCCCAAAAACCCCAAAUUUUUCCCCAAAACGCCCCAAAAUCGCCCAAAUUUGGGGGAACUUUUGGGGGCGGAGCGGCUUCGGCAGCGGCGGCUGCGGCAGCGCCUGGAGAGCCUCGGCUGGGAGUACCCCCAGGUGGGACUGGUUUGUACUGGUUUGUACUGGUUUAUACUGGUUUGUACUGGUUUAUACUGGUCCAUACUGGUUUAUACUGGUUUAUACUGUUCCAUACUGGUCCAUACUGGUCCAUACUGGUCCGUACUGGUUUAUACUGGUUUAUACUGGUUUAUACUGGUUUAUACUCAUUUUUUUUCCGAUUUUUACUGGGGUUUUUCCUCCAUACUGGUUUAUACUGGUCCAUACUGGUCCAUACUGGUUUAUACUGGUUUUUACUGAUUUUUACUGAAUUUUUUCCGAUUUUUACUGGGUUUUUUUGUCCAUACUGGUCCAUACUGGUUUAUACUGGUCCAUACUGGUCUAUACUGGUCCAUACUGGUUUAUACUGGUUUUUACUAGUCCAUACUGGUCCAUACUGGUUUAUACUGGUUUUUACUGGUUUUUACUGAAUUUUUUCCGAUUUUUACCGGUUUUUUUUCCUCCAUACCGGCCCAUACUGGUCCAUACCGGUCCAUACUGGUUUAUACUGGUUUAUACUGGUUUAUACUGGUUUAUACUGUUUUUUACUGGUUUUUACUCAUUUUUUUUCCAAUUUUUACCGGGUUUUUUUUGUCCGUACUGGUUUAUACUGGUCCAUACUGGUUUAUACUGGUCCAUACUGGUCUAUACUGGUUUAUACUGGUUUAUACUAAUUUUUUUUCCAUUUUUUACCGGGUUUUUUUGCUCCAUACCGGCCCAUACUGGUCCAUACUGGUCUAUACUGGUCCAUACUGGUUUAUACUGGUCCAUACUGGUGCAGGCCCUGCUCCGCUGCCUGUCCCUGCUGUCCCACCUCCGCCUGCUGGUCUGUACUGGUUUAUACUGGUUUAUACUGGUUUAUACUGGUUUAUACUGGUCCAUACUGGUUUAUACUGGUUUAUACUGGUUUAUACUCAUUUUUUUCCGUUUUUUACUGGGUUUUUUUGCUCCAUACUGGUUUAUACUGGUCCAUACUGGUCCAUACUGGUCCAUACUGGUUUAUACUGGUCCGUACUGGUUUAUACUGGUCCAUACUGGUUUAUACUGGUUUAUACUGGUCUAUACUGGUCUAUACUGGUUUAUACUGGUUUUUACUGAAUUUUUUCCGAUUUUUACGGGGUUUUUUUCCUCCAUACUGGUCCAUACUGGUCCAUACUGGUCCAUACUGGUUUAUACUGGUCCAUACUGGUUUAUACUGGUUUUUACUGUUUUUUACUGAUUUUUUUCCAUUUUUUACUGGGUUUUUUUCCUCCAUACUGGUUUAUACUGGUUUAUACUGUUUUUUACUGGUUUUUACUCAUUUUUUUUCCGAUUUUUUCCGGGUUUUUUUUGUCCGUACUGGUCCAUACUGGUUUAUACUGGUCCAUACUGGUCCAUACUGGUCCAUACUGGUUUAUACUGGUCCUUACUGGUCUAUACUGGUCCAUACUGGUGCAGGCCCUGCUCCGCUGCCUGUCCCUGCUGUCCCACCUCCGCCUGCUGGGGGCGCUCCAGACCCACCUGGACGAGGGGCGGGGCCGGUACCUGCUGGCCAAGGGCGGGGCCGUGCUGCUCAAGAGCAGGUGAGGACACGCCCCCUGCCCUCAUUUGCAUCUCAUUAGCAUGCAUGUUGACGAUGAGAUGGCGCCGCCCAUCCCGGUUCCCACCAGUUCGUCCCAGUUUGUCCCAGUUUGUCCCAGUGAGGCCAAAUCCCAUUCACAGUUCGUCCCAGUUCAUCCCAAUUCAUCCCAGUUCAGUCCCAGUUCAAUCCCAGUUCAUCCCAGUUCAGUCCCAGUUCAUCCCAGUUCAGUCCCAGUUCAUCCCAGUUCAUCCUAGUUCAGUCCCAGUCCAUCCCAGUCCAUCCCAGUUCAUCCCAGUAUGGCCCAGUAACCCCAGACUCCGUUCCCAGUUCAUCCCAGUCCGUCCCAGUUCAUCCCAGUUCAAUCCCAGUUCAUCCCAGUUCAAUCCCAGUUCAUCCCAGUUCAAUCCCAGUUCAUCCCAGUAAACCUUAAACCCAUUCCCAGUUUGUCCCAGUUGCUCCCAGUGACUCCAAAC
RNAcentral lists this long non-coding RNA (3024 nucleotides) under Taeniopygia guttata (zebra finch). RNAcentral describes it as "lncRNA (ENSTGUG00000025821.1)". Lineage: Eukaryota; Metazoa; Chordata; Aves; Passeriformes; Estrildidae. The record is from RNAcentral.